CCUACGGGUGGCAGCAGUGAGGAAUAUUGGUCAAUGGGCGCGAGUCUGAACCAGCCAAGCCGCGUGAAGGAUGACGGCUCUAUGAGUUGUAAACUGCUUUUGUACGAGGGUAAAGUGAGGCACGUGUGUCUGGUUGAAAGUACCGUAUGAAUAAGGAUCGGCUAACUCCGUGCCCGCAGCCGCGGUAAUACGGAGGAUUCAAGCGUUAUCCGGAUUUAUUGGGUUUAAAGGGAGCGUAGGUGGGUGGAUAAGUUAGAGGUGAAAGCCCGCGGCUUAACUCCGGCACUGCCUGUGAUACUGUCGGGCUAGAGUUCAGUUGAGGUAGGCGGAAUGUAUGGUGUAGCGGUGAAAUGCAUAGAGAUCAUACAGAACUCCGAUUGCGAAGGCAGCUUACCAAACUACGACUGACGUUGAGGCACGAAAGCGUGGGUAGCAAACAGGAUUAGAUACCCUAGUAGUC
Molecule: ribosomal RNA, 460 nt
Filed under: uncultured bacterium
Lineage: Bacteria
Description: partial 16S ribosomal RNA
Rfam family: Bacterial small subunit ribosomal RNA
Source: RNAcentral